This 2260-nucleotide long non-coding RNA is filed under the name Homo sapiens (human). RNAcentral's name for it is "HSALNT0364803". The record is from RNAcentral. Lineage: Eukaryota; Metazoa; Chordata; Mammalia; Primates; Hominidae.
UCAAAAAUAAAAAUGUCAAGGUCUCCUAAUCUCUAGGAUAGGGAGAGUCAAAUUUGCAUGAGGACUUUUGAGAAAAAUCAAGGAUGCCUGAGGGGAUUUGAGUCCUACAGGCUCAGCACUUAUGAAAAAGGAUAAAGUCCUUCCCAGCCUGGCAGGAGAAGGAAAAGCCUGUGGUGGGGGAAGGGAGUGAAGGCGUGUGCCUCCUCAUGGAACACAGGGUCGGAGUCGGCUAGGAGGGAUAAGAGUACAAUAGAGGGUUGUGUGACACAGACAGGCUGCCAGCCCUCAGCAUGGACCCGGCACAUGGAAUCUGUGAUCUUAAAAGAGUCAAGUGACUACCUUUGGCAACCAAAAGAGACACUGCCUUUUAGAAGGCAUAUCAUCUGAAACUGGCUGAAAGAGCUGUCUUACUUAGGAAGAAAAAUCUCUCCUUUGGAAAGAGCUGGAACUUUUAGUAAAACUGAACAGUGAGGUGGCGGAAGAUAAAUAUGCUGAGGCAUGUUUUCAAGGAGGGGAGAGAGAUUCCUUUUCCUCAGCCGGGCACAGAGCCAACCUGAAGUGUAGCACUGUGGUGACCUGGCGGGAUCUGCUCUCCAGUCACUCCCGAGGGCCCUUCUGGGGACAAGGAGACUUUUCUGUGCGGCCUGUUGAUUUGAUAGAGAUGAUGUCUUGCCACAUUGCCCAGGCUGGUCUCAAACUCCAGGCCUAAAGGGAUCUUCUGACUUUGGCCUCCCAAAGUGCUGAGAUUAUAGAUGGGAAACACUCAGACAUCAACAGGCUCACCCUUGAAAUGCAUCCUAAGCCAUUGGGACCAAUUUGAUCUGCAAACCCUGAAAAAGAGGAUCGAGGCUAUCAAGCUACAGAUGAUCUUACAAAUGGAACCCCAAAUGAGCUCAACUAACAACUACCAAGGACCCCUGGACCAACCCGCUGGCCCUUUCAAUGGCCUAAAGAGUUCCCCUCUGGAGGACACUACAACUGCAGGGUCCUUUCUUUGCCCCUAUCCAGCAGGAAGUAGCUAGAGUGGUCAUCACCCAAUUCCCAACAGCAGUUGGGGUGUCUUGUUAAGUGGGGAGAUUGAGAGGUGAAGCCAGCUGGGCUUCUGGGUUGGGUGGGGACUUGGAGAACUUUUCUGUCUAGCUAGAGGAUUGUAAACACACCAAUCAGUGCUAUGUGUCUAGCUAGAGGUUUGUAAAUGCACCAAUCAGCACUCUGUAAAAACGGACCAAUCAGCACUCUGUAAAAUGGACCAAUCAGUAGGAUGCGGGCAGGGCCAAAUAAGGGAAUAAAAGCUGGCCACCUGAGUCAGCAGUGGCAACCCACUCGGGUCCCCUUCCAUGCUGUGGAAGCUUUGUUCUUUCACUCUUCACAAUAAAUCUUGCUGCUGCUCACUCUUUGGGUCCACACCACCUUUAUGAGCUGCAACACUCACUGCGAAGGUCUUCAGCUUCACUCCUGAAGUCAGCGAGACCACGAACCCAUGGGGAGGAACAAUCGACUUCAGACAUGCCACCUUUAAGAGCUGUAACACUCACUGCGAAGGUCUGUGGCUUCACUCCUGAAGUCAGCAAGACCACGAACCCACUGGAAGGAAGAAAUUUCGGACACAUCUGAACAUCUGAAUGAACAAACUCUGGACACGCCAUCUUUAAGAACUGUAACACUCACUGUGAGGGUUCAUGGGUUCAUUCUUGAAGUCAGCAAGACCAAGAACCCACCAGAAGGAACCAAUUCCGGACACAGACUCACUGCAACCUCCACCUCCUGGAUUCAAGUGAUUCUCCUGCCUCAGCCUCCGGAGUAGCUGUGCCUACAGGCACAAGCCACCACACACGGCUAAUUUUUUGUAUUUUUAGUAGAGAUGGGGUUUCACCAUGUUGCUCAGGCUGGUCUCCAACUCCUGAGCUCAAGUGAUCCACCUGUCUCGGCCUCCCAAAGUGUUGGGAUACAUGUGUGAGCCACUGUGCCCGGCCUCCUCUGGAUUAGUUCUUACAGGAAUAGAUUAGUUCUUGCUCGAGCAAGUUGUUAUAAAAGUGAGGUUGCCUCUAGUGUUUUGCAUCCUCACAUAUGUCUGCUUACCUCUUGACCUCUCUCUGUGUUAUGACCCAGCACAAAAGCCCUUACCAGAAGCCAAGCAGAUGCUGAUGCCACACCCCUUGGACUUCUCAGUCUACAGAGCCAUGAAACGAAUAAACCUCUCUUUAUAAAUUAUCCAGCUUCAGGUAUUCUGUUAUAGCAACACAAAAUGGACGAAGACAAC